RNAcentral lists this long non-coding RNA (413 nucleotides) under Triticum aestivum (bread wheat). RNAcentral describes it as "long non-coding RNA (TAES_LNC010244)". Lineage: Eukaryota; Viridiplantae; Streptophyta; Magnoliopsida; Poales; Poaceae. The record is from RNAcentral.
UGAGCACUCGCUUGUUUGAUGCUCCCUGGGUGAAACAUAACCGUAAUAAUUGAAUAAAUGAAGUAUAGGAUACUUUAAUAAGUGGGUGAUGGUUUCAUAUGCUGUGCUGUUGGUUUGGUUUGAGUUUGAGGAUAAAUUGGCAUCUUAAGUUCUAGAUCUGGUGAAGUCAGUUAGUUGUAGCUGUCCUAUGUGGACUCGAAAGGUUGAAGGCUCUUGCAGUUAGUUCGACCGUCUCUGUUGAGAACCAGCAACGCUAUUUAUCAUGAGAAAUCAAGCGAAUGAGCAUACAACAUUUGUUUGUUUCGUGUCAUCACAAAAAUAAUGCGGUUUGUUAUAUUUGUUGGGGACAAGUACAGAUUAUCAGUUCUUCUGUUCAUCUGAAGUAAAGUAUAUUCUUAGGAUCCUGAUAAGUG